AUGUUGUCGCCCACAUGCGGUUGGGACUUGGGAUGGGAACGAAGAAGAUGAAGCUCCUGUUUGGGAGUGGCGGAGUGCUUAUUCUCAAGCAUUUAUUGAUGAAAAGCACUUAUUUGACGCUGGGACUACGUCAACAAACACUUCUUUUAUGCUUUGGUAACUUAAGUGCUUUUUUGAAAAAAUGCUUAUGGCGAUUCUAGCCCGUCUUUGGCCCAUUUGAAAUAAGCGCUUUUUUACCAAUCACUCCCAAACGAUGCGUAGGACUUCACUGUGUCUCCUUCAUUUGCUCGGACAACAGCACAACACAAGCAGGGAGAAGAUGAAAAUCGCCGAUGAGGUCUUCGCCAUUGGGGAAUUCCAUUGGCAAGAAUCAUGCCAAAACCUCCUACUUUUUCCACAACCAAAUUGCAGAUUCGCCAUUCGAGACUUCAUUGGCAGGAACAGGUGGCACCAAUUUUUGGGACAAGGGCUGGACGCCUUGUGGCUAUGCUCUCCAGCAUGCACUGGUCAAUAACAUAACCCUACAACCUUUACCCCUUUAAUCCUGGCAUUCUCUGAUCCUAAAGAAAUACUGCAUAAAGAUCAUGCGUGAUUGAAUGGUCUCUGAGACUCUUGAAGUUCAUCAAGGUGCUAAAUGGCCAGAUCGUUCGUGAUUCAACUCUCAAGGAUGCAGAAUUCCUGUGCAUGUGUUCAGACGAGAAAGGUUCAGUUGGCAUUCUUCUACCUGGGAAUCCGCCACCAUCAUUGCCCAUACUGGUUCACUGUAUCAUCAACAAGAUGAAUGAAGAGAAUCCUAUCCUCUGGAGGUUCACAGUUUGUUAUAUAGAAAUUACCAAAAGAACAAAUGUACAAAACACAGGAUAAUUGAUAAUUUCUAAAGGAAUCUUUUUGAUGGUUCAGCAUUUAUUCUGUAA
Nelumbo nucifera (sacred lotus) is the source of this 914-nucleotide RNA transcript. RefSeq lists it as uncharacterized. The record is from RefSeq and is a predicted model, not a curated record. NCBI's taxonomy places the organism in Eukaryota, Viridiplantae, Streptophyta, Magnoliopsida, Proteales, Nelumbonaceae.